RNAcentral lists this ribosomal RNA (585 nucleotides) under uncultured bacterium. Its description in RNAcentral is "bacterial SSU rRNA". It matches the Rfam family "Bacterial small subunit ribosomal RNA", at positions 337 to 928 of the family's 1533-position model. The record is from RNAcentral.
GCCUACGGGAGGCAGCAGUCGAGAAUAUUGGUCAAUGGGGGAAACCCUGAACCAGCGACGCUGCGUGCGGGAAGAAGGCCUUCGGGUUGUAAACCGCUUUUCUGGAGGAACAAGGGAAUUUCUCUGAGAGUANUCCNGGAAUAAGGGGGUGCCAAUUCUGUGCCNGCAGCAGCGGUAAGACAGAACCCCCAAGCGUUAUCCGGAUUUACUGGGCGUAAAGGGUCCGUACGCGGCUAGGAAAGUCUGAGGUUAAGGACCCUGGGCUCAACCUAGGGAAUGCCUUAGAUACUCUCUAGCUAGAGGGUGCUAGAGGCUAGCGGAACGACCGGUGUAGGGGUGAAAUCCGUUGAUAUCGGUCGGAACACCGAAAGCGAAGGCAGCUAGCUGGGGCAGCCCUGACGCUGAGGGACGAAAGCGUGGGGAGCAAAAAGGAUUAGAUACCCUUGUAGUCCACGCCCUAAACGAUGGACACUGGCUGCCGGUAGUGUCGACCCUAUCGGUGGCGAAGCUAACGCGUUAAGUGUCCCGCCUGGGUAGUACGGCCGCAAGGUUAAAACUCAAAGGAAUUGACGGAAUCNCUAGNGA